GUUAGGUUUGAGUGCAUACGAACUAUACUGGAUUGGUUGAUAAAAGUUUAAUAAAAAUAACGAAACAACAAGUUCAGUCAACGAUCAACAAUUAAAAACGAAAAUUAUAACAGUCAAGGUUUGCUUAUAACGAGACCUGUCGCACUUCGCAGCUUGAGAUAGACGUUAUGCGUUAGAUUCGAUUCAAUGUGUAACGUUCGACACGUCACAAGGAACUGUUCGACUUUAAAUGAUUUCUUUGUCUCAUCUUUAAGACGACCCCCACUAUACUUAGGUCACGCCACCGUUCGCGCCUAUGAUCACGUAUGUUUGUUUUUGCGUGGAAAACGUAACGGACAAAAUUCGACGUUUCGAGAGCUCGCUGCUUGGCGACAACUAUGCGCUCGUCGAUACAUUGUAUAUGAUUCGGCGGUCAGAUAAGACGAUCUGACUGCGACAUUGUAGGGCCGCGAGCGACGGUUAGAAAAUACAGCCUGUGGUAAGCCUCGUGGCGUAACACACAUUAUUAUUUAUUAUUAUUAUUUAGCAAAUAUCGUAAUGCAUUGCAGAUCGCUUGGUCUAUUAUUUUUCCAAUGAAUCAUUCACGCGUUAUUAAUCGCCGCGUAUCAUUUCUAUACACGAUCACUGCUAAUUGCGGCGUUAAUUACGGUAGCGUUGCUAUCAUUGUUGUUAACGGUAUUAUCGGUUUUACUAUUUACGUAAUUAUAGUGGCGAUGCGUAAACGUGCGUCAAUUAAACGGAGAAAGCUUCCAGCAACAAAGUCCGUAUAUUUAGAUAUAAAUCCAACGGGUGACGGAUUUAAGUAAAAAUAGUUUAGAGCAACUGCUCCACCCCCUCCCUUCUCACCGUAUUACUUCCGGUACAAUUUAAGGUAUAACGAUCUGACGUCUCACUUGGAACAAAUUCCUUUGCCAUUGCACUCUUUCAUUCUAAUAACCGCGUCGAAUUUAUAAACCAAUAUAUACACGCGACACGUAAGACCAAACAUAAAAUGGUUACGAAUAAUCCGUGGAAAUCCAAUUUGCUCACGAAUCGGAAUAAAUCCAAUUUCGUGCGAACUCUUCGAUCAAGUUUGAAGCAGUUCUUCAUCCUCGACCGAUAUUCGUUCCCGAAUAUCAAUCGAACAAAUCGAAUUUAAUUACUCAGUUAAUUAAACGAUAUCAUCGACGAUAACAAACGCGAUGGUAGACGACGUUGACGCGAACAGACACACGCUACGAUUCGGACCUGUUUCAUUCUCGCGUCUAUUUCCAGCAACCGGCAGAAAUAGAUGCAUUUACCACACGGUGAAACGAGCGAGGGAUCCGUGUGAGCUUGGCCGUGCCUCUACUCGAAUUAGAAAUGGCAACAUGUUAAUCGAAGGUUAAGGAUAUCGCGACGAUGUAUGAGCGAGUCGCGAGACGCGAUCCCGAGAGGAAU
Molecule: unclassified non-coding RNA, 1419 nt
Filed under: Bombus terrestris (buff-tailed bumblebee)
Lineage: Eukaryota; Metazoa; Arthropoda; Insecta; Hymenoptera; Apidae
Description: misc RNA ENSBTSG00005037284.1
Source: RNAcentral